GACGAACGCUGGCGGCGUGCUUAACACAUGCAAGUCGAGCGGUAAGGCCCUUUCGGGGGUACGACGAGCGGCGAACGGGUGAGUAACACGUGGGUGACCUGCCCUCCAGCUCUGGGAGUAAGCCUGGGAAACCGGGUCUAAUACUGGAUAUGACUCCAUGACGCAUGUUGUGGGGUGGAAAGCCUUGUGCGGCUGAGGAUGGGCCCGCGGCCUAUCAGCUUGUUGGUGGGGUGAGGCCUACCAAGGCGACGACGGGUAGCCGGCCUGAGAGGGCGACCGGCCACACUGGGACUGAGACACGGCCCAGACUCCUACGGGAGGCAGCAGUGGGGAAUCUUGCGCAAUGGGCGAAAGCCUGACGCAGCGACGCCGCGUGAGGGA
RNAcentral lists this ribosomal RNA (381 nucleotides) under uncultured bacterium. RNAcentral's name for it is "bacterial SSU rRNA". It matches the Rfam family "Bacterial small subunit ribosomal RNA", at positions 28 to 408 of the family's 1533-position model. The record is from RNAcentral.